AAUUGUAAUAUGGUCGAGUGUGUCUUGGCCUAUAACGGAGAGCAGCACUGUGGUGCUUGGUUCACAUAUGCCGUCUUUAAAGCGGCUGAAGCGACGCACUUCCGCCAAGCGAAGUCCAUCCUGUUGGGCCCAAGAAAGGACUUCUGCAACUGAGAUAUCUGUAUCAACAUCCCAAAUGAGAAAGUCAGUACGGACAGAAUUAGUAGCAAAUCUCACUGCUAUCGAGAUAGAGCCAAGAGACGUCAUGUUUACUAUGUCCGCAGCGCAGUCAUAAUCCAAAGUUUUGAGUAUGAGGUGCCUGGAGUGAGAAAAGUGCACAUCCUCAAGUAGUGAAGAGUGUGACAGAGCAGACUGUAAAAGCCUAUACAGUACCGAAGGGGAAGACUUCGGGAACAGGCCACCAUCUCUGCAUGUUACAAAGAAGACGAAGGGGCAAGGAUGAAAACAUUGUUGGCGACAGAAAGAGAGGAUAUCAACAGCAGACCACUCUCCGUUGACCCAGAGCGAAAAAGGGUCGACUCCAGCGGAGGCCUGCUCCUUGGAGGUAGGAGCUAGAAUGGAUGCCCC
Molecule: long non-coding RNA, 567 nt
Filed under: Androctonus crassicauda
Lineage: Eukaryota; Metazoa; Arthropoda; Arachnida; Scorpiones; Buthidae
Source: RNAcentral